AAACGUCCUGGAGUGGGAGGCGGAGGGGCUUGUCCGAUGGCCUCUUGGGUUCGGUCACCUGGUCCAAAGCCUCGAGAAGAGUCGGGCCCUUGUACCAUUCGAGGUUGGUCGACCUCUCGAUCAUGUUGUCACCCUCGAAACCGGAAAUGGGAACGAAGGGGAUCUUGUCAGGGUUGUAGCCGACCUUCUUGAGGUAGGACGACACCUCCUUGACGAUUUCUUCGUACCUCGCCUUGGAGUACUUCGGGGUGGUAGCGUCCAUCUAAACAACAGAAAAAAAUCCAUGAGACAUACCCUUCGAAAACUACAAGCUAUGAAUAUAAAACCAUACCUUGUUACAGCAGCAGAUCAUCUGCUUCACUCCAAGAGUAAAAGCGAGAAGAGCGUGCUCACGGGUCUGACCAUCUUUGGAGAUACCAGCCUCGAAACCUCCAGUGGUGGAAUCGAUAAUGAGAACAGCGCAGUCAGCCUUCCACAAACACAAAUAGAAAAAUUAGCACACAAAAGCAACAGUGUUAAGGAAAAAAGAGGACUCACCUGGGAAGUUCCCGUGAUCAUGUUCUUGAUGAAAUCGCGGUGACCGGGAGCGUCGAUGACGGUGCAGUAGUACCUGUUGGUCUCGAACUUCCACAACGCAAUAUCGAUUGUGAUUCCACGCUCGCGCUCGGCCUUGAGCUUGUCCAGCACCCACGCGUACUUGAACGACCGCUUGUUCAUCUCGGCCGCCUCCUUCUCGAACCUCUCGAUCGUUCGCUUGUCGAUUCCUCCCAGCUUGUAGAUGAGAUGCCCCGUGGUAGUGGACUUGCCGGAGUCGACAUGUCCAAUGACCACGAUGUUGAUGUGAGCCUUCUCCUUACCCAUAGCUGCUACCUGAAUCGAGCGACAGCCAAAGAUCCAGUGUUAGAGCAACGAAAUUGAAGAAAAGAAGCACUAGAUCUAGAAUUCUCGGCGCUAGAGUACCUGCGCAGAAGACGAAAGAAGGGCCGAGGAACCCUAGCCGCCUCAAGAGGGUUUCUCUCAAGUGAAGACCACAAACUUAUAUUCUUUCCAUCCGGGUUAGGGGUUUGACACUAGCCGUGCGAUCGCUAUCCGACGGCCAGGACAGUUUCCUCAUUGCAAAGCUAACUUACCGUGCCAAAUUAAGCCCAAUCUCGUACGGAUGGAAAUGCCAAGUAACGGGGCGUUUUAGGGUUUAUUGCUUUGGCGAUGGCGUUUUCCUCUCUGCGCUCUUCUUUGCUGCGCGCGCUUGGUAAGCCGUGCGCUCGAUCGCCGGAAUAUCAUGCUUUGGCUGUGUAGGCGCCACGAAAUGCAGCAGUGAAUCGGCGAGAUUGGGGCGUGUAAUGUGUCGUGGCUGCUCCGACGAGGCCUCGGCCUCGGACAUCGAGGAAUCGGUAGCCAAGGACGGUGAUCAAUCGGGGCGGAAGCUCCGUGCGCCUGCAUUCCAGGGAGUGUACAAGGUAUUGAAAUCCUUCGUGCUUGAACCAGUCCUUUUUUCUUCUUUUACGUUGAACGAUCACAGCUAGAAAGUUCUUCCAGCUCUCGUUCUAUCUAGUUCAUUGAAGUCAGCGUAGAUUGAAAGUAUCGAGGUUUUCUUUUCUUGUGAAUGUAGGCUGUGAUCGUGGGAGAACUUACGCAGCCACCAGCCGAGCUCGUUCUCAAGAAUGGAAACGCGAUCGUCACGCUGAUGGUCGCGACUGGAGGGCUGCGCGUGCAAAAGAAGUUGAAUGCUCCAACGAAGCAAAUCCACAAGGUGGUCGUUUACCAUCGGCGGCUCAAGGAUCUGGCGACGCAGAUAAAAAAGGGGUGAGUGGAGUUCUUGGUGUUCGUCCUUUUUCUUUCCAAGAUGUGUUUGUGCGAAUCGCCCAGGCAGCAGAUCUAUCUAGAAGGCAACAUGGAGUCGAGGGUCUUCAAUGAUCCUGUUACUGGCGCCGUCAAGCUAUCGCGAGAGAUCUCCGUGAGACAAAAUGGUAAGCAUGGUUUCUUCUCAUUGCCUUAGAACUUGGUCCUUGUGGUUCCUUCUUUUUCUCUCUAGGACGUUUGUUUAUGCUGGACGAUCUGGAAUUGAGGGGGGUCAAUCUCAAAGCUCCUAAAGUGGAGGAAGGAAAUCGAUGAAAACAAACGAAAAGGUAGUGUUUUUUUGUAACAUAAAAACCUUUCUCAAAAUGACUGUAAAUCUUUUAGCUAGGGUUUUUUAGCCAAGUAAAAUUUGUUAAAAUGCUUUCAUUCAAUUUAAACCGGAUUUUUUAAUGCUAAAAUUUAAUGCAACCACCCAUUAGUUUAAAUAAAUGUUUAAAAUAACACACUUUUUAUUCUUCAGAAGUUUGCAAUGUAUUGCAAAACAAAAGCUGGACAAACGUUUAUCCAAGCCAAAUCUUUGUUGUAGAUGAUUGGUUGCAUUAAGAAUUUAUAAUAUAUUGCAAAAAAAAAAAGCUAGACAUACCUUUAUGCAAGUCAAAUCCUUGCUGUGAUGAUUGGUUACAUUGAGAUUUUCUGAUCAUCAAAAUGACAUCAUGAUCAUGGGUAACCUUUUUCACCAAGGAGGUAAGGUGACAACACAAUAGGAUUUGGACAAGCUUGAUUAGGAAUUUCUAUUAUUGAAGUUUACAUGAUCUCUUUCCAUUGAAGAUGGCUGCAAAAUCUUGAAUUUCACCAUACUUGAGUGGCCACAGCAAAUGUAUAAAAACUGUUUUUUACUGUUAACAAUUGUAAAGAUGAUAAAUUGAUGGUGCUUGAAAUAUACACCAGGAUCUUCAGUUGGCUGCAUGAUCUCAAACUGUGUAUAGUUGAAGCAUCCUGCAAAAUCUUGCUCUAGAUAAACCCAACUAAUCUUUUAGGAACUUGAUUGAAUCUCUAAGUGUAUUGAUAAUUGCUUUGCAAAUCUCAUACACAAUCCCAACUACCGUACUCUCAUCAAUCCUAAAGAGCUCUAAGAGUGUUAUAUACUUAACUACAUUUCUUAGGUCAUACAAGGUACAAAUUACUUUGACUUGCACCAAAACUACUCUCUGAUAGUUGGUAGAUCAUACAAGAGAAGAUCAACAAAACGAAUGAAAGUUAGCUUUCCCAUGCCAAAGUUCUACUUCUAAUGAGUGUUGUCAUAAACUUACUCAAUGAAUCUGUUAAACUAUAAUGUUGAGUUGGCUUCACCCACCACAAGCCAUACAGAUCAACUCAAGAAGCAGCCCUUACUAUUAGCAAAGAAACUUAUUGAACAAUAUAACUACUCUAAUUGAUCCUCAAAUUCCCAAUCUAGAUCCUAAACUUUAUCUAAGUAAUUACACCUUUUUCUACCUUUGAUAAGUAGUUUGCAUGAACCAUAAUGCCUUCUGAAUAACCAGUAACUUGGCCAAUUUGAUCAUGCUCUUGAUGCAACAGAUGUUUCUGUAGCUUGCAUUGUCAUAUAGUUCCUUUUAAAAUAUUUUUGUUUCUAUUUUUGAACUUUGCUUUUUCUUGUAGGUUCUCAUUGAAAACCAUGAAGCUCAAGCUGUUCAGAAGUCAGAAGGCAUUGUGUAACAUGGAUUCCUUUACAAUGGCCCUGACUAGAAUCUAGUGAGUAGAAAUAAAAACUAAUUAGGUGGAAAUGCUUAGAAACACUUUAUUCCAGUGGCAGACAGUGAGCUACAAACAAAGGUUUCUAAUAAAAAAACUAAGCAAAAUUACACAUCUUUUAAACAUUGUUAAUCAUAAGCUCUUAAAUGGGAUUGUAAAUCCUCGUCACCCUUUGUCUUGUAAUGAAGAUUUUAUGCACGCAAAUCCAUGAUAAAUCUCCUCUCCUUGCCCUAGUGUUGAUUAAACAUCGGUUUGGAUUGCAAGGCAUAUGAGAAUCUUGCAACAAUCAGAUCCUUUAGAUUAAAGGAUGUCCAAAGUAUUGGAAUGUUAACUAAGAGGAUAAGUGAUCCAAAAAAGUAAAACAAGCUUUGACAGUUAUUUCAUAGGCAUUGACAUUCCAAUGUAAUCUUUUGAAGAAAAAACCAAUCACUGUCUGUUUUAUUGCUUAUUUUUCAAGGUAUGAAAUUGACUUAGUUUCAAACAAAACAAGUUGCAAAUUUGAAAUAUAUUGAUGAAAGGACAAGUUCAACUUGGAUCUCAAUGUUUUUCAUUUUCUUGGUGGCUUCACUCUUUAGCUCAUUUUUAUCAUCACUUGCAUACUCUGGUGAGGUGAUCAAAGAAUGCGAUGAAACUGAACAUGCAUAUAAUAGUCAUGAGACUUUCUGUGACUGCCUUUGGGAUAUUUGGGGAGAGUUUGGUGAUGCACGGGCACCUGGUGUUUAUAUUGCAAGACAAGGAGCAUUUAUAAUGAUCCUCACCAUUAGUAGAAUCCAUGAUUAUAUAGAAGAUGAUAUUCGUCAAGCUCUCGAGGAUAGUUGGCGUGAUUGUUUACAGUUUAACCAUGGCACCAGUAAGAUAACAAUGAGGGAUGCUUCUAUGCGCUUGUUUAUCCAGAACUCACGACGAGACCUAUUUUACGUGGAACAACAGUUAAGUUAUCCUUAUUGCCUUUAAAUUGACAAAAUAUAUAAAGUGAUUAUAUGGUCAUUAAUAUUAAUAUUUAUGGCAAGUUUAUCCUAGGGUGAGAUCGGAAUAAUGCCUCAAUAGAAACAGCUUCUUCAAUCUUCUUCUAUGGUUUGGACUCAAAGCCCUAGGCGAGAGCUCAAUCCCGUAGCCACCUUUGUCCUCUGAUCCUCUUGUCAGGUGAAGUGUCUCACAGCAUGUUACUGGUAUGAUAUAUUGAUUGAAGAAAUAUUUCAAGCUUUGGAAAUAAAGACGGAUUCACAAUUUCAAGGUACCAUAUUUCAGCCACAAAGUUGAUACUACUUAAAAAGUGCAGAAGGGCUAGACAGAUUUAUGAGAGUUUCAGAAUACAUACCGAGCACGAUGAAUCUGCCAUUGCUCUCGGAAAGUAUGGGAGAAAUUUACUAAUAACAGGCACGGGCCUGAUGUUUAUACCUCGAACAGUAUAGAAUACUUUCCUCCUCGUGUGUGUGUGCGUCUCUAUCGGGCAUCAUCUCUCAGGUAGGUUUUACAGUACCAACAGUUUCUACAUUUCAGAUAGACUCAUUUAAUCGUUUGUUGUAACAGGCACACCACCAGGAGUUUUCUUAUCCUUUCAUCAUUAAGUAACAGCUCCUUACUAGUGGACGAGUUUCAGGAGAUAAUUCAAGCUCUUGGAAGCGCUUUCUACCAGCCACUUACAGUCGACCAGCAGAUUUAUUCCUGGAGAGGAGCUGCCGGAUCCAAAACUUUGCCAGCUUUUCGUUGUCGUAAAAUGAUCGUGAGAAUCCACAUUCUUUUCAAAAAUCCACACGCAGUUCAUGGCGGACAGUCUCUUCCAUCUCGAAUUUAUCUUGCCCUUAUUUGUUUUUCGUUCCAUCGCGUCCAGUGGUGCUCCCUUCCCUUCGUGUUGUGUCCUUUGUGGCUGUAACGUUGAUGCGCCCUAAACCCUAAUCAAGAAUAUUCGCUUAGGGCUCUAAGGUUUGUUGUUGCGGGAAGGGAAUGCUGCUGCAGCCCACGCGAUGGCGGCAGCUAAUGGAUGGGAUCGGGCGUGCGGGGCGUCAGGUCGAUUCGGCAUUCUCUUGGCGGCAGCCGAUCCAUGGCGCUGGAGGGCCUGGGCCUCGGAUCGAGCCGGCAUUCUCUUGCCCGCGCCGGUUUUACGCAAUCCUCACCAUGGAUGACUGCAUUCCCAAGCCGCGGCCCAUCGUGGAGGCCGUUCCCAAGCCCAUGGACAGGACGUCGAGGAGGACGGGUCUCAUUGCUGUGAAAUGCGGCAUGACCGCGGUCUGGGACAAAUGGGGGCGGAGGAUUCCAAUCACUGUGCUAUGGGCCGAUGAUAACCAGGUUGUCCAAGUGAAGACAGUGGAUCACGAAGGAUUCAACGCUCUCCAGGUAAGUUUUGUUUUCUCUUGCAAAGCUUUGCUCGACUAUUUGGUUUUUUUUGUGUGUGUUUUUCUGGCUUCUUAGGUGGGAUGUGGCCAGAAGAAGCCCAAGCAGCUGAGCAUACCAGAGCUCGGCCAUUUCCGAUCGAAAGGCGUGCCGAUCAAGCGAAAGCUCAAAGAGUUUCAAGUCUCCGAAGACGCGCUCCUCCCGGUCGGGACUCCACUUACCGUGAGGCAUUUUGUUCCUGGCCAGUUCUUGGACGUCACCGGCGUCAGCAUAGGAAAAGGAUUCCAGGUUUUUGUUGCUUCUAGUUUGGAUCUUGUUUGAUGUUACUUUGUUUAUGUAUCAGGGUCCGAUGAAAAGAUGGGGUUUUGCUGGAAUGCCUGCGUCCCACGGAGCCUCGCUUUCUCACAGAAGCCAUGGAGCCACUGGAGGAAGAAAAUCACCAGGCAAAGUAAACAUGACGAUGCCAUAGAAGUCGAUGCUGUUGCUAAGUUUCUUUCUCUCUUUCAGGUUUUCAAGAAUAAAAAGAUGGCAGGACAAAUGGGAAACCGGAAGGCCACUGUGUUUUGCGUCUGGGUUUACAAAGUGGAGCCGCAGCGAGAUCUUAUAUGGGUCAAAGGACAGGUACUCACUCACGAGAAAAUUUGGUUUCUCUUGUCUUUCUUUCAGUUAGAAAUGCGAGCUCUCUCUACAGGUACCGGGUUGCAAAGGAAAUUUUGUCUACAUCAGAGACUCUUGGAACAAGCCGCCAGACGUUUCGCUCACUCCUUUUCCGACACAUUUCGCUCCUCCUGACGAAGAUCCUGCGACUCUAGAGGCACUGAUCGCAGAUGUAGGAGCCGAAGAUCCUUUCCAAGUUGAUGAAGAGAAGAAGUGAUCAUAGCACAAAGUUUUGGAAUAAUCCGCAUUUCUAACUUAUUCCAAAUCACGAUUCUGGGCUUGACAUUCACCAAUUACUGUUUGCUACCAAUUUCAACAUACCAAAUCUGACGUAGUUUCAAAUGAAAACAAUAUAUAUAUUCGCAAAAGACCUCAAAAUGGUUCGUGUUUUCACGGUUGCUCUACUCUUGAGCUCAUUUGGUACCGAGGCUAUUGUAGAAUGUGAUCGAAGUGAAAGUGUAUGUAACGAUCUCUUUUCAUAUUUCGGAUGACCUUAACGAUGCACAGGCGCCUGAUGUCACAAGAUUUGGUCUGUAAUGAUCCUCACAACCAUGAUCGAAUGGUGAGCGAUUUUGAGGAAGCUAUCUGUGACAUCUGGGAGGAUUGUUUGCAUGACAGAGUAGCAUAGAGAGAUAGUUCCAUGCCCCUCAUGAAGUGGACAACAGUUAUGUUUUAAUGGUAGGUAAAUUAAUAAUUUUUCUAAAAAAAACUUAAAAGAUGAUAAGAGCUUCUCUAAAGGUAAUAUUGUGCAGACAUGGAACCAUAUGUUUUUAUUCUUGACAACUUUCAAGGUACUAAUUCUAUAUAAUGCCUUCCAUGCACCUUUAACCUCAAAGAUGUUUAUCACUUGGAGCAUUUGAACUUGAAAAAGUUUUCAACUAUGAAUGAUGUUUUGUUUUGAGGAUGAUUGGGAUGGCAGAUGAUCAGGAUAAGGAUGGCAAAUGGAGGUGAUUCAAUAUUGCACACAUAACAUUGGAAAAGAAAUAUAUAGAUCCCUUAGUUUCAGAGGAAAUUCAUGAUAUUUCUCUACUCCUUGUAGCAACAAUAUGACUUUUUUUAAGAUAAGCCAAUGCAUUUAUCUCAUGUGAGAGGUAAAAUAGCACAUUUUAGCCUUGUGUUAUAGGAUGUUCACACCUCACUUAAAGUGAUGAGUUGGAGUAUGUUGCAAUCUGACAUUAUUUUGGCAUCAUAAACACAUUAGUGGUGGAGUGUUCUGUGACAAGUUUUGUGCAUUACAGAGCAUAGCAGGUGGCUUUAAGUCCUGCAGUGGAGUCAUUUCAGAAGCAAACAAAAACAAUGUUAAGUGUUCAUGCUUAUGGUUUUGCUUGACAUGAAUAAUUUGAGUAAUCAAUACUUAUAAGGGUAUCUUCUUAAAUUUUAUUAAGCCAAGGUUGUUUAUUCUUAUUUUUUAUUUCAGUGAAUCCAAGCUUUUUAGUAGAGGUUUUUAUAUCAAAACUUCAAGAAUUCUUAAAUAAUUUUUGUUGAACCUUUUAAAGCUUUAUCAGAUUAUUUUUUGUUGAGAAUUAUUGAGAUUUAUUCUUGCACAGUGUCUGAGGUGUAUGUUCCAUUUUGCAUCGUGAGGGACUGUUGAUACUCUAUUGUCUGCUUGCGAACUUUAGAAACGCAUCACCAACAUCCUUGAAUCCAUGGGCUCCAUCAUUUUCAUUUAUUUAAAUUUGUCAUCAGAGUGGUUAAUGUGUCAUUGUUGAAGCAUAUUUCUGCUGGAGGCUGGAAAGCUCCAUGUACGCCCAUCUUUUCACAAGCUUUAAGGGCUCUCAUCUUUUCCAGAGGUUCAAGCCAUGGCAAAGCUUGGAGCUCUCAUAGUUUUCCUUUCCUUCUUCUUCUUCUUUGCUCUUUCCUUGGCUUGUGAACUCCCUCGAGUUCCUAUGCAUCUCAGCAACAUGGCACUGAUUUGAUCCAAGCAUCAUCUCUCUUUCGGUUUUGAUCUUGUGUAACAUUUUCUUUUUGUUGAUUUAUAGAAUCCCAGUCCAAGCUCAAGGGCGAGGGCAACUACUCUGUACUGAGAAUCUUCUACACGAAAGGUCCCUUAACACUCGAAGUCAAAAAGUCGUGGCUCUACUUUGGAAAAUGGGUCGAUGGAAUCACUGAUUUCACAGUUGGAUCUCCUGAUGGCCUCAAGAUGACUGCGUGGGGCGAAUCUAUGCCAGUGAGAGGUCCGCGUCCCCCACCGGUACCCAGGGCUCCUUUGAUAUUCACGGGACCGAUGGCCGGAAGGUAGUAUAUGUCUACUGGUACGUUUCUUAUGGUGGAAUGGAAGUAUACCGCACGAGAUAGCCGGUUCAAGGUGACGACCACAAGGAUUGGAGAAUCUUAUCUGGACGUGACUAUGGUGAUCACAUACAUUGCCAAGAAGCUAUUGCUUGAAACUUUGUGUUUGAGUAAGAGUUCCUUAUGAUAAAAAGCUUUGUUGAGCUUGUGAUGUAUGGCGCAGCGAAUUUUGGUAUUUUUGAGCUUCGCAUCUCCCACAGUUCCAUUCCAAGAGUCAAUUAAAUGGCUUGAAGUUAGAAAGUGACUAUCGUGAUCGCCGUUAGAUUUGAAACUAUCUCAAAACUCUCAUCCAAGGACGAAACCACCUGCUAAAAACAGGCAAAGGAAAAAAAACUCGUUGGAAAUCAACAAAGCCAAGAAGAAGACAAUUUAUAACUUUGUAAAUCAAAUGAAGAAUGCAAUAAGUCCAGUUUUUAAUUAGUGCAAUUAUCCUAGGCUUGACAUGCUCGCGUUAUUAGAGUUUUCACUCCACAGAACGUCUCCUCAACUUAAGAUGCUGAGAGUCAAAUAAUGUGGUGUCCCACAUACACGUAUCUCGCUUGUUUUUUCGCUGUCUAUUCAUGCCUUGGUGGUUGUAAUGUUAAUACAGUCCUCUUUGCAUAACAAGAUACAAAAAAAUUAAUGUGGAGAGCGAGUGAUUGAUUGUCUCCAAAUCCAUGGCUGGUGGCAGCAGUGGCAAGGAUAAGGACGGGGUAGAGGGGAAUUGUCUCCAAAUCCAUGGCUGGCGGCGGCAGUGGCAAGGAUAGGGACGGGGUAGAGGGGAUAUCUGAUAUCUAUUUUGUGUAAUAAGGUUUGGCCAAGUGGAAUAUGGUUAUUGCAUGAAACAUUUGGUGGAGUGAUCAUUUUGGCCGAGCUGGGAUGUGGAGCGGUCUUGAUGUUAAAGGGCUCUUCAACGUGCUGAAUAAGAGCUUGCUGCCCACUGUCCUUCAUAAGAUACGUGAUAUGCAUGUGAAUUCUACAGGAACAAAAUGGGAGUCCCGCAUCUAAGAUUCCGAGACUUGAAACUCUUCAAGCUUUCUCUUAAUCGUACACGGAAAUGGCCGAGCUGUGGCAAGCUAAGCUGCCUGGGCACAGCCCACCUAACGAGCCAGGAAAAAAAGAGCAAUAGAAAACAAAAGAACAAACACUUACCUGGAGAGCCUUGAAUGUUUCGUGAUCCACGGUCUUCACCUGGACAACCUGGUUAUCAUCGGCCCAUAGUACAGUGAUUGGAAUCCUCCGCCCCCAUUUGUCCCACACCGCGGUACUGGUCAUGCCGCAUUUCACACCUGUCCUUCUAGCCAUGAGCUUGGGAAUGAUAGCCAUGAGUGAGCUUAUCGAGGGAGCAGCUGCGACAACAAGGAAACGUCCACGGACGGGACACCAAGAAGAAACAGGAAGGCUUGCUUGCAAGAAAGUGAAGCCAAAGUAGAACAAUGUUGCUCGACGAAGCUCGUCUUAACGGACUGUGGCUCGUCUGUUAACUUGAUCUAGCUGUUGGCAGCCGUUGGAUGAAGUCAGGUUCUCAGCGAGAACGUGGCUGACAACUGCCAGGUUCAGCUAUCAACUGCCAAUUCUAGAGAACCCUCUCAUCCUCGAAUAACGUUAUUCCACGUGUUCGCUAAUGGUCUCGCCACAGCUAAGGCCAUUCCCCGGGCACGGGCUCGCUCGUUCCCUCCAGAACGCGCUCGCCGGGCUAACGCCCGGCUUGCCCGUUCUGGGCGGGAACGUGCUCGCCUUACCCGGGAACUCCUUCAUCAUUCGGAUGUGCUCCCAGUCAGAAGGCCGAUAAGCUGGCUGGAGAUCUCUUUUCUACCGGACAAUUCGAUUGUCUUCAAGCCGGAAGAGCUGUCGAGCGCGCCUGCUGAAGUUCUCGGUCGUAGUAGCCAUGGUGCUUCAGAUGGACGGCGAGAAGGACUCGCCAAGGACAAAGCAGCGUUCACUAGAAACUUUUGUUCCAUUCAACUUCCAAGCAUACUUCCUCUCUGAGGCCAGUACCGCCCGGGGGGGGGUGGGAGGGGGUGGGGACGAGAGAACACGAGAAGCUCGCGUCAUAUCGGACUCCUCACCUUUGGAAGUUUAUCUGAUCGCCUUACAUCCAUUUCUUCUCCGCAGAGAGAAGUGGUCGAAGAUUUCCACCGUUUUGCUCACUCCUUUUCCGACACAUUCGCUCUUCCUGCGACUCUCGAGGCGUUGACCGCAGGUGUCCCAGCCCACGAAGAGAAGAAGAAAUGAUCAGAGCACAACCAAAGUUUGGACCAGUGGGCCCUUUUAACUUCUUGUGAAACGAAGUCUUGACGAUUCUUCCACGGGGGCUUUACAUUUCAAGCUUUGGAGGAAAGACCGAUCACUCUUAGUUUUAUUGCUCGACUUUUCAACACAGCAAAGUUGACAAAAGUGAUAUAUAUCUUCAAAAUCUUCUCUUUGCAAAUGUAUAGAGAUGUUUUUUAUUUUUUUUAUUGCUUUGUUCUUCAGCUCAUUUGAUUCAUCGCUGGCAUACUCGAGUUUGGUGAUGCAGGAGUGCGAUCCACAACCAAGAGUAUACAUCCACAACGAGGAUUUUUGCUCUUGCUAUUACGAGGUUUCGGAUAUCUUUCUUGAGCAUCAGAUACCUGGAGUUUACGCCCACAGACGGGGUCCGUUAUUGAUGGUCCUCACUGUCUCUAGAUUCCAUGCUGGAACGGAGAGGGAUUUUGAGGAAGCUAUCGAUGAUAUCUGGGAGAAUUGCUUGGAGUUGGGGUAUGGCAGCAGUAAGAUAACGCUGAUGGAUGGUUCCAUGCGCCUCUCUGUGGUGUUUCGUCGAGAUGAACUGUUAAACGUUGAGCCGACCACAAAACAAUUUAGUUAUCCUUAUUGCCGUCAGUUUCACUGAUUGUUUGAGCUGUGACAACGAAUUUGCGGUGAAAAGUUAUCUAGAAUUAACUACGUUGUGAUGCAACUUGUGAUGAAAGAUGGGGUUAAUGCUUGCGUCUCACGGAGCCUCGCUUUCUCACACAAGCCACGGAGACUAAAUCUCCAGCCAAAGUAAUGCUUGAUACUGUUGCAAAGUUUCUAUAUAUUUCUAAAAUUUUUAACAAGCUAAAAUGUUGUGGGAGUUUAGAAAUGUCAAUCUGUGGGAGAUCUCUCAAAUGUUUUUUUUUUCUUGUUGGAUCUCAUUUUUCUCAUUUAGAUCUUCAUUCUACAAGACUUCUCAAAUGCUAGGUUUUCCAAUGGUUGGAUUAUUAUUCUUUUCACUUGCAUGCUCUAGUGUUCACUUUCUUCCUCCACACAUAACAAGAUUUAUUAUGUGCAUCAAAUAAUGAGCAUGGAAAACCUAUAAAAAUCUUACAACGAGAAAAAGCGUCCUGUCAGUUCUUCUCUGGACAAGCAGCACGCAAGUCUUCCUGGACCACUUUGAUACUCGGCCUCUCCGAGCGCUCCAAAAUGCAACUUAGCGCCAGAGCCAAAACAUCGUCGAUCCCCUGCGGUGGCUCUUGAUCCCUGUCGUAGCCAACUAGUGCCUGAUCGUAGCACUCCGGACCCCUGCCCUCCGAGACGAGCAGCUUCACCCAGUCGGUGAGGUCCACAGCUCCAGAGUUUCCAGAGAUGAUGUCUCCGGCACCUUUGCCCGUGACAAUCUCCAUCAGGAUCACACCGAAGGCGUAUAUGUCCGCCUUGAGAGUUGGCUUUGGCUUCCUGGCGUGUGCAAGCUCGGGAGCGCGGUAUCCCAGCGCUCCCGCGUUGAGAAUCUGGUUGGCUGUUCCAGCGGGUGUCAUGAGCCGGUGAAUGCUGUAGUCGGACAGCCGCGCUACGAGAGAAGAUCCAUCCAGUAGGACGUUGCUAGCUUUCAAGUUGCCGUGAGGGAGCUUGUGCUUGGUGUGCAGAUACGAAAGUCCGCGCGUAAUAUCGACUGCAAUGCGCACUCGCUGUGACCAUUCUAGUGGUGGAAAUCUUCGACCACUUCUUUCUGCGUAGAAGAAAUGGAUAGGUAAGGAAAUGCGUAGAAAGGGAAAGGCGGAACUUUUACCUGUAAGUCGAUCAGAUAAACUUCCAAAGCUGAGGUAGUCCGAUAUGACGAGCUUCUCGUGUUCUCUCGGCCCCCAGUAAUAGCCUCGGAGAGGAAGUAUGUUUGGAUGUUGAAUGGAACCAAACUUUCUAGCUUCACGAGUGAACGCUGCUUUGUUCUUGGCGAGUCCUUCUCGCAGCCACUUGACUGCCAGCAUGUGUCCAUUUUCGAGCGUUGCCUUGUACGAAGUACCAUGGCUACUGCGACCGAGAACUUCAGCAGGCGCACUCGACAGCUCUUCCGGCGUGAAAACAAUCGAACUGUCAAGUAGAAAGAGAUCUCCAGCCAGCUUAUCGGGAGAACGGACCUUCUGACUGGGAGCACGUUCGAGUGAUGACGGACCUUCGUCGAGCAGCGUUGUUCUACUCUUGCUUCGCUUUCUUGUGAGCAAGCCUUCCUGUUUCUUCUUGGUGUCCCGUCCGUCACCUUGCUCCGGAGAGCCAGGGACGUUUCCUUGUUGAGGUAGAAGCUGCUCCCUCGAUAAGCUCACUGAAGCACCAGCUUUAGCCGCAGAUGGAGGCCCGAACUCCAACCGAUGAGGACUUUUUACCACGUCACGUUCAUCCGAAGAAUUUUUGUCAGCUGCUUGCAAUCUGGAGUAGACGAACAGAGCGAUCGCAAUGAUGAUGACUGUUGCUGCUACACACCCCCCAAUCAAGCCGGCCUUCACUGCGGAUGAUAAUCCUUUGCCCCGCCUGGACCGCAAGGACGGGAUUCCAGCCCCGCUGCUUCCAGGUACUACAAGUCCGGCAUUGCCCGGGAAAAAAGACGACAGUGGGAAUCUUGAUAGCAAGUUUGCUGGUAAAUGUCCCGACAAGUCGUUGUUUGUCAGGUUCAACGUCUGUAAUGAAGAUGGAAGCUGUGCUGGAAUCCGGCCACGAAGAUGGUUAGACGAAAGAUCCAAAUUCUCCAAGUACCUCAACCGUGAGAGCUGACUGGGAAUGCCUCCAGUGAAGUCGUUUCCUCCCAGGUUAAGGACGACUAGUCCCGAUAGAGAAGCAAUUUCUUGGGGGAUGGAACCAUUGAGACUGUUGAAAGAUAAGUCAAGGACUUGUAACGGGGAGAACAAAACCGCUGGGGGAGUGGAAGAGAUGGAGGUGGGCGACAAGAGCUCACCGGGGAUGGCGGAAGAGGAAAGGAAGCUCACGACUGGAAUCCCACCCACGAGAUUAUUGUUUGCGACUCUGAAAAUGGUUAGAGACGGGGAGUGAAAAAAAUCACCAGGGAUUUCACCGUCGAGAUUGUUGGAGCUGAGGUCUAGCGCGGUCAGUUUGCGGAGGGAUGCGAGAGUACCGGGAAUAGGACCAGACAAGGCGUUGUGAGAUACGUUGAGGUACAUGAGUCGGAGGAGGUGUGCUGUUUCGUUGGAGAGAACGCCGUCAAAAGAGUUGCCGCUGAGGUCGAGAACCUGUAAGCUGUCCCUCCAGUCUUUCAUCACGUCCAAGUUCCCGGAAAAAUGAUUGUUGCUGAAGUCUACUAUGGCGCAGCUUCCCAGUCUUAUCGGCAAAGUACCCGAGAAGUUAUUCGACGCUAGCCUUAAGAUCGAUAGACUGGUGGCUGCCACCAUUCCAAUAGUACCUGCAAGAAAGAGAAGAGUGAGAAAUAUAAGCGACAGAAGAGAAGCAAACAACGUAAACACUUACCGGAAAGAUUGUUGAAGCUGAUGUCAAGCUCCUCCAGCACAGAUUCCGUGGCGAGAAGCGCCGGAGGUACAUAUCCCACGAAGGAAUUGUUCUGGAGUUUCAAGACACGUAGCGAGAAGACAAACGAAAACGACGGAAGCUUCCCCGACAACAAGUUGCUGCUCACGUCCAGGAUUUGCAGCUCGCUCGCAAACAAGCUCGCCGCGUUCUCGGGAGCCAGCUCGCCAGUAAACCUGUUGGAGCUGAGAUUUACCGAGCUGAUGCCUUGCGGGAAAACAAAUGGAGCACCCUGCUGCCACGGGAGCAACCCCGAGAGCUCGUUGCAGCUCAUGUCGAUCACUUCCAUGCGGCUGAGACCCAUGAGCACGGGAUCCACCUCUCCGGAGAGCCUGUUCUGGCGAAGAUCCAGCCGGUGCAAGCUUUCCAAGCUGCUCAUCUCUCUCGGGAUCACACCGCUAAACGCGUUCCACGAGAGGUUGAGCGAGACCAGCUGCCGCAACGAAGUGAUCGAUGGAGGGAUGCCACCCGAGAGCGAAUUGCCGCUUAAGUCGAGAUCUCCGAGCCGGAUCAUGCUCGCAAACAUAUCCGGGACCGGCCCCUCGAGCUUGUUUGACGAGAGAGAAAAGUUUACCACGCUGCGCAGGCCGGCAAAGGAGCUCGGGAUGGAUCCCACGAACUGGUUGGCCGACAGAUCCAAAAACUGGAGAGCAUGGAGCUCGCCCAGAUCCUCUGGAAGCUUUCCACCCAGAGAAUUGUUGCCGAGAAGCAGCGACGUGAGCCUGGACAGCCUGCCGAUCGUUCCAGGAGAGAUUUCCCCCUGGAGCUGGAGAUCGCCCAGUGCCAAACCAGUGACGCUGCCAUUGGAGCACACUACCCCGUGCCACUGCGAGGGGCAGCCCGACGGAUCCACCCUGUUGGCAACCCAGCUGCUCCUGAUCAGCCCCCCUGGAUCGCCAGUGACCCCAUCCCGAAAUUUCAGCAGCGCCGAGGCAUCGUCCGCCAAGGAAUCCGCCCGCCAGGAGCUCGACAAGACGAGAAUUCCCACGACGAGCACCAGCAUUAUCCUUCCCAUCGCCCCGAGCUGCUGCCUUCCAGCCAGAUUUUCACCUCAUCUUCUCCCAGCUCCAGAAAUCAUGAGCCCACAACACUGGAGAAAAUGGGGCCCCUGGGCGUGCGCCGGGGCCCCAUCCGCUUGAAUCUAGUGCCCGCUCCUCAUUGCCGAUCGAAGAACACACCCCCAGCUCGGGAAUUUCGGCGGAUUCUAAGCCGAAUCGCGACCUACAUUGCAUCCUAGAUCCAAGCCAGCUCCACAAUCCAUACCGGGGAGGAAGAACAGCGGCACCUCCUCGCGCGCCACGGCUCCAGCCCUAACCCUCCCAGAGCUUCGAAGCCGGGAAUAUUCGUUGCCACUGUUGGAAUAUGCUCUGAAAGCGACCAAUCCCUUUGGAGGUUGGAGCGCAUUUCUUUCUUAACAGCUAGAUGGCAACUGAGGAUGUUGAUGUGCUUAUUCUUUUUACGAUGCUAUUCUCGCGAGUUCAUUCAAUGCAUCGCAUGAUAGAUGGAACGAUAGAAAUUUGUUUAGAUUGGUCGUGGUAGUUUUCUUUGGAAGAAUUUGACGAUCACGAUGUUCUUCCUGUUCUUCACUUGGAGGCGUGAUGGCACGGUGCAAAUUAUAUCACGCAGAAGUAGAGGUCGAUCUAUAUAUAACUUUCGUUUAGAUUUCUCUUCUCGUAUGUGCUGUCACUGGAGUGAGUGAUGAGUAAUUGGUUCCUGUAACGUUUUGAGAGAUCUCUCUCCAAAAUGCUUUCGCUCGCCAGUAAGUUGGUAAAAUGUGCUGAGAGUUUGGAAGAACCUUGCCUUAGAUCACCAGAUCGGCUGCUGGUGCUGGGGCGGAGGCAGCCACGAUUCCAUCUCUUCCUUGUGUAUCAUCCUGUUGUAGGUUUGAGUCUCUGCGUUCCAGCUGCAAAUCGGGCACUCGUCACUCGGGGCACCCUGGAGGAUCUGGCACAAACAUCCCAAAGUUACUCGAGAGUUUCGAGGGAAAAAGUCAAGAGAUAAUAAACGAACCCUGAGAACACACUGCUCGCAAAACGCAUGGUUGCAUUCCAGGCGAAUGGGAUCCACGACGAGACCUGUAAAGUGAAAAACAAAAAGUGAAACGUUGGGACCGGUAAUAAAGCGGAGUAACUUUUUACACUUACGAAAGCAGAUGCAGCAGUUGCCAGAAGCGUCGUACUGUCCAUUCGCAAUCAACGAUGAAUUCGGAGGCAAUCCCAAACUGUUUCGAAGCUGAGAUUCCAGGAAACGUUUCUUCAUCACUUCUGGAUCGCUGUCAAAAGAACCAUCUGAUCUGAGUAAACGUUCACAGUACAUAUAAAUGCUUGUACCAGUCACGGGUAUAAUCGAGAGGAAAGUCCGGUGAGAGCGGUUUAGUCAUGUAUCCCCCUCCUAAACACACAAGAACAAAAAUAUUACGAACUAACACCAGAAAGAAGCUGCCAAUCAAACCUCGAGGGAACACUUUGAGCUCUCGCAGUGGUACCGCCAAGUCCGGAUCAUUAAAGAACUGCUUCGUAGUAUUCUCGGGUGAAAGUAGAUCGGAAACGGCUUGCGCCUCCAAUUUGGCACGAGUUUUGGCUCGGACUUCGGCCAUUAGCAUCUCAAGCUUCUUCAUAGCCUUUUUUUCUUCCUCGAGUCUCCGAUCCGCAUCACUGCCUAUAAUGCUCGGAGCUGGAUCACAGAGUGCACGGUCACAUAUCAGUCCUUGAGCCGAAGAAAACAAAUACUUAACGUUUAGCUUCGUCCUUGGCUGGAUGAAGCAGUUUCUCCAUCUGCUUCCUGUGAAGUCAAGUUUCAUUAGCUUCGAGCUGGAGAAGAGACAAUUUCAACUGGAGAAUUUACGUACUUGUUCAUAGGCUUGGAUUUCUCGCGGUAUGGUUUGACGAGCACCCGCGCACCACAGACAUGGUGAGGAUUUCCUUCGGCCAGAAUCAUCCUCACCGUCUCAGCGUACGUGAACGUCACAAACCCAAACAUUCGCUUGUGCUGGGUUGGAAUUCUCACGUCUUCCACGGGACCGUAAGCUCUGCACAGUAAAGUUUCGUAUCGCUCCUCUUGUAGCGAAGGAAUUAAACACAACGUACCGGAAGUGUGUCGCGACGUCCUCCUCGGAGAAAUUGCUAUCGCAUGGAAACGUGAGAUAGAUUUGUCUGGAGCAAGGGCUUGGAUCGUUACAUUCGUCCAGAUCCACCUUGUGAGCGCUGUAUUUUGGAACAUCCUCCGCGAGCAUGAGAGCGUGCUGCCGAUGGGGCCUGGGAAAGGAAAGAAAGAAGUGAUAGAGACUGACGCUCGCAAAGGAGGAAGAAGAAAAUGCCCCAAGCAAACAAGAAAUUGCGAAGAAUCGAGGACUGGAUGAAAACUAAGCUACGAUUAGAGAAAGAAGCAUACCUAGCAACAAUGGCGCUAACAAGAAAUGCGAAGAAUCGAGAAGGAAUGGAUGAAAACUGUGAAAACUAAGCUACGAUCGAAGAAAGAAGCAUACCUCUCGACGACGGUGACGCUCUGGAACUUGCUAAGAAGCUUUGUGAGGGUGUAGCCCGGCUUCGCGUGGCGCUGGCUCUCGGAGACAUAGCCAUCGGCUUCCAGCCAGCGGCCAUACUUCUCGAAGUAAAUCUGCGGCAGCGAGGAGACGGAGAUGGGAACGCCUUUGCGCGAGCGCAAGAGCUCCUGGAGCUGGAAUUCCAGGCGCUCCAUCGACAAGAACUGAUCUUUCGGCGGGGAAUCCGACUGGAGCAGCGCGGAAUCGUGGAUGAAGCGGCAGCUGCUCCCGUUCUUGCAAAAUCCCUUGGCAAAAUACAUGCAUGGCUUGGGGGGAUCCUCGUCGGGCGCCGGAACCGCGAUCUUGGCUGGAGCUUUGCUUCUGAAACCAUUGGCCUUGGUAGCCGAUGAUCCACCGAACUCGCCGAUGCCACCGAUCGUUGCCAGAUGAUUCUCGUUGCAGAAGAGCUCCUUCUUGGCCUUGGCGACGGUCGAUUUGAGCUCCGGAUCCGUGCUAAAGGCGAGGCUAAACAUAUCCGAGUUCUUGAGCAGCAGAUACCCCAUCACUCGAUUCACAUUCUCCGCAUCGAUCGCCUUGACCCUGGCGAACACGAUCUGAGCCGCCUCGCACGAAUCCAUCGCUCGAUCGCUGGAGGAGAGGAGCACGCGCCGCUGCUACUGCGAUGGCGCCGUCGAUCAAUCCGCUCCUGGAGCUCGAGCCUCGAAAUAUUUCGAUCGAUCGAUCGAAAUAAUCACCCCUCCUUCCUAUCACUCCGCAAGAACAAGAACGAUCGCUCUGACAAAGCUGCGCGUACAGACAUAAUGAAACGAGGUCGUGCGUAGCGUGUUAACAAAACCACCGCUACCUCUAGAUUUGGCGGGACUUUUAAAACUACUAAAAUAACCUAAUAUUCAAAUAAAUAAUAGGAAAGAAGAAUGCAAACAGCGUGCCUACAAAACUGCUAACUAGAAGAUCCACAACAAAAAAGAAAACUCCGACAAAACGAGGACGUCCAAAUAGUUGUACGGUGAAAUAACUCGGUGGUACGGCAUUAGAACUUCUCCCUCUUUACUUCUUCUUGGCGGCCGCCUUGGUCACCUUGGCACCGGUGGGUUCCUUCUUCUCCACGGCCUUGAUCACUCCCACUGCCACCGUCUGCCUCAUGUCACGCACCGCAAAGCGUCCCAAUGGAGGAUACUCCGCGAACGUCUCCACAACCAUGGGCUUCGUCGGCAGCAUCUUCACGAACCCAGCGUCACCGUUCUUCAGGAACUUCGGUUCCUGCUCCAGCUCCUUUCCGGAUCGCCUGUCCACCUUGGUCAGGAGCUCGGCGAACUUGACAGCGAUGUGAGAGGUGUGGCAGUCGAGCACCGGGGUGUAGCCGUUUCCAAUCUGUCCGGGGUGGUUCAUGAUGAUCACCUGGGCAGUGAAGCUGGCAGCCUCCUUGGCCGGAUCGUUCUUCGAGUCGGACGCCACGAAACCACGCUUGAGAUCCUUCACCGCGACGUUCUUCACGUUGAACCCGACGUUGUCACCGGGAAGUGCCUCCACAAGGGACUCGUGGUGCAUCUCCACGGACUUCACCUCAGUCGUCAGUCCGGUUGGGCCGAAAGUCACCACCAUACCGGGCUUGAGGACUCCGGUCUCCACUCGUCCCACGGGGACGGUUCCAAUUCCUCCGAUCUUGUAAACGUCCUGGAGUGGGAGGCGGAGGGGCUUGUCUGAUGGCCUCUUGGGCUCGGUCACCUGGUCCAACGCCUCGAGAAGAGUCGGGCCCUUGUACCAGUCGAGGUUGGUCGACCUCUCGAUCAUGUUGUCACCCUCGAAACCGGAAAUGGGAACGAAGGGGAUCUUGUCAGGGUUGUAGCCGACCUUCUUGAGGUAGGACGACACCUCCUUGACGAUUUCUUCGUACCUCGCCUUGGAGUACUUGGGGGUGGUAGCGUCCAUC
RNAcentral lists this long non-coding RNA (19982 nucleotides) under Selaginella moellendorffii. Its description in RNAcentral is "long non-coding RNA (SMOE_LNC000671)". Lineage: Eukaryota; Viridiplantae; Streptophyta; Lycopodiopsida; Selaginellales; Selaginellaceae. The record is from RNAcentral.